Molecule: ribosomal RNA, 253 nt
Filed under: uncultured bacterium
Lineage: Bacteria
Description: partial 16S ribosomal RNA
Rfam family: Bacterial small subunit ribosomal RNA
Source: RNAcentral
UACAGAGACCUCAAGCGUUAUCCGGAUUUAUUGGGCGUAAAGCGUAGGUAGGCGGUUCUGUUAGUCGGAUGUCAAAGACCGGGGCUCAACCCCGGGAAGGCAUUCGAAACGGCAGAGCUAGAGAGUGUGAGAGAUCAGUGGAAUUUAUGGUGUAGUAGUGAAAUGCGUUGAUAUCAUAAAGAACACCCAAGGCGAAGGCAACUGAUUGGCACAUUUCUGACGCUGAGCUACGAAAGCGUGGGUAGCGAAUGGG